This is a long non-coding RNA of Triticum aestivum (bread wheat), 552 nucleotides long. RefSeq lists it as uncharacterized. NCBI's taxonomy places the organism in Eukaryota, Viridiplantae, Streptophyta, Magnoliopsida, Poales, Poaceae. The transcript is spliced from 2 exons. The record is from RefSeq and is a predicted model, not a curated record.
CUAGUACUACCUACGUACUACUCUCUAUAUAAGUGCUUAUCAAGUUGAGCACCCAUUGCACAGAUUGUUAGCUUGCAAUCCAAGUAGAAAUACAGCAAGGGAGGAAGCACAGAGUCGAACGAUCGAGGAUGGCGAAGAAGAACUCCUCUGCGACCUCGGUUCGGCUGAUGCUGAUCCUCCUGGUUUUACUGGUUUUCGUUGGAGGCAUCCUCGCACGAGGUGGGCCGACCACCUGCAGCAACCCUGCUGCUCAGCGAAACUGCCCGCCGAUCCGUAAUGGCGGCUCAUAAGCACAACAUGGAGCACGAAGGGUUUAGUAGGCUCUCGCAUUCGCCGGCGUCGAUUUUGUUCUGAACCGAAUAAUAUUGUAUGUUCUUGAUGCGUCGAUUGUUGUGUGUGUGUUGAUGUUCCCCGUAUUUUUGUUUGUAUUGUGGCCUGGUUUAUAAAUAAAUAGUACUACAAUGAGUCGGGAAGUUCUCUUGCCCAUGCUGGACUUUGAUUAUUGGAUCUGAUGGCCAAAAAUAAAUAAAAAAUCAGAGCUAUCCGUGAGUA